RNAcentral lists this ribosomal RNA (465 nucleotides) under Vreelandella stevensii. RNAcentral describes it as "partial 16S ribosomal RNA". It matches the Rfam family "Bacterial small subunit ribosomal RNA", at positions 338 to 795 of the family's 1533-position model. The record is from RNAcentral. Lineage: Bacteria; Pseudomonadati; Pseudomonadota; Gammaproteobacteria; Oceanospirillales; Halomonadaceae.
CCUACGGGGGGCAGCAGUGGGGAAUAUUGGACAAUGGGGGCAACCCUGAUCCAGCCAUGCCGCGUGUGUGAAGAAGGCCCUCGGGGUGUAAAGCACUUUCAGUGAGGAAGAACGCCUGGUGGUUAAUACCCAUCAGGAAAGACAUCACUCACAGAAGAAGCACCGGCUAACUCCGUGCCAGCAGCCGCGGUAAUACGGAGGGUGCGAGCGUUAAUCGGAAUUACUGGGCGUAAAGCGCGCGUAGGUGGCUUGAUAAGCCGGUUGUGAAAGCCCCGGGCUCAACCUGGGAACGGCAUCCGGAACUGUCAAGCUAGAGUGCAGGAGAGGAAGGUAGAAAUCCCGGUGUAGCGGUGAAAUGCGUAGAGAUCGGGAGGAAUACCAGUGGCGAAGGCGGCCUUCUGGACUGACACUGACACUGAGGUGCGAAAGCGUGGGUAGCAAACAGGAUUAGAUACCCGUGUAGUC